This 77-nucleotide transfer RNA is filed under the name Lyticum sinuosum. RNAcentral's name for it is "tRNA-Ile". It matches the Rfam family "tRNA". From Rfam's summary of the family: Transfer RNA (tRNA) molecules are approximately 80 nucleotides in length. Their secondary structure includes four short double-helical elements and three loops (D, anti-codon, and T loops). RNAcentral also lists the same sequence under 4 other names. The record is from RNAcentral. Lineage: Bacteria; Pseudomonadati; Pseudomonadota; Alphaproteobacteria; Rickettsiales.
GGGUUCGUAGCUCAGGUGGUUAGAGCGCACGCCUGAUAAGCGUGAGGUCGGAGGUUCAACUCCUCCCGGACCCACCA